Molecule: ribosomal RNA, 461 nt
Filed under: uncultured bacterium
Lineage: Bacteria
Description: partial 16S ribosomal RNA
Rfam family: Bacterial small subunit ribosomal RNA
Source: RNAcentral
CCUACGGGAGGCAGCAGUGUGGAAUAUUGGUCAAUGGGCGAGAGCCUGAACCAGCCAAGUCGCGUGAAGGAUGACGGCUCUACGGGUUGUAAACUUCUUUUGUCAGGGAGCAAUUGGGUCCACGCGUUGGCUUAGCGAGAGUACCUGAAGAAAAAGCAUCGGCUAACUUCGUACCAGCAGCCGCGGUAAUACGGAGGAUGCGAGCGUUAUCCGGAUUUAUGGGGUUUAAAGGGAGCGUAGGCCGGCUUUUAAGUCAGCUGUGAAAGUCCGCGGCUCAACCGUGGAAUUGCAGUUGAAACUGGAGGCCUUGAGUGCACACAGGGAUGCCGAAAUUCAUGGUGUAGCGGUGAAAUGCUUAGAUAUCAUGAAGAACUCCGAUCGCGAAGGCAAGUGUCCGGGGUGCAACUGACGCUGAGGCUCGAAAGUGCGGGUAUCAAACAGGAUUAGAUACCCCAGUAGUC